This 212-nucleotide ribosomal RNA is filed under the name Candidatus Kaiserbacteria bacterium RIFCSPHIGHO2_01_FULL_55_37. RNAcentral's name for it is "partial 23S ribosomal RNA". It matches the Rfam family "Bacterial large subunit ribosomal RNA", at positions 2697 to 2925 of the family's 2925-position model. Lineage: Bacteria; Candidatus Kaiseribacteriota. The record is from RNAcentral.
AUGAACUGACCUCUGGUCUGGGGGCUGUACCACCAGGUGCAUCGCCCCGUAGCUAUGUCGGGAACGGAUAACCGCUGAAAGCAUCUAAGCGGGAAGCCAACUCCAAGAUCAGGAAUCGUUAUGAGGCUCGUGGGAGAUGACCACGUUGAUAGGCACCAGGUGGAAGCGCAGCAAUGCGUGUAGCCGAGGUGUACUAAUCCGCCCACAGAACU